GAGCAAAGGCUGGGCUUUAGAUGCUAUCUAUUGGCUUGCCCGUUCCAAGUGGUGAGUUGUGCUGUGGAUUCUCUGCGAAGGCGGAGGCUUCCCGGUCCUUAGAUUGGAGGGGGCACCGCGUGAGGCUGGUUUCACAGAGCAUCGAAAACCUUGGAAGGAUAACGGGCCGGUGCAUCCUCUACCCACUAGCGCCUGACGGGUCGUUCAAAUUAAACCACCAU
This is a long non-coding RNA of Ipomoea nil (Japanese morning glory), 221 nucleotides long. RefSeq lists it as uncharacterized. NCBI's taxonomy places the organism in Eukaryota, Viridiplantae, Streptophyta, Magnoliopsida, Solanales, Convolvulaceae. The transcript is spliced from 3 exons. The record is from RefSeq and is a predicted model, not a curated record.